GAUGAACGCUAGCGGCAGGCCUAAUACAUGCAAGUCGGACGGGAUUCAGGAGCUUGCUUCUGAUGAGAGUGGCGCACGGGUGCGUAACACGUAUGUAACCUACCUUUAUCAGGGGGAUAGCCUCUCGAAAGAGAGAUUAAGCCCGCAUAAAAUCACAGCACAGCAUUGUGUAAUGAUCAAAUAUUUAUAGGAUAAAGAUGGGCAUGCGGAACAUUAGCUAGAUGGCGGGGUAACGGCCCACCAUGGCGACGAUGUUUAGGGGAUCUGAGAGGAUGGCCCCCCACACUGGUACUGAGACACGGACCAGACUCCUACGGGAGGCAGCAGUAAGGAAUAUUGGUCAAUGGGCGGAAGCCUGAACCAGCCAUGCCGCGUGCAGGAAGACGGCCCUACGGGUUGUAAACUGCUUUUAUACGGGAAUAAACCCAGAUACGUGUAUCUGGCUGAAUGUACUGUAAGAAUAAGGAUCGGCUAACUCCG
This 480-nucleotide ribosomal RNA is filed under the name uncultured bacterium. Its description in RNAcentral is "partial 16S ribosomal RNA". It matches the Rfam family "Bacterial small subunit ribosomal RNA", at positions 28 to 505 of the family's 1533-position model. The record is from RNAcentral.